AUGGUCCUAUCGGUGUGGAAGGUGUGGGCUCCUCCGCGGUGCAAAUUUUUCGCAUGGCUUGUACUUCAAGAUAGAAUCUGGACAUCGGACCGCCUUGCUCGACGUGGGUGGCCCAACUGCGGGCUAUGCCCGCUUUGCAAGCAAAGCCCAGAGACGGCAGCCCACUUACUGUUCCAAUGUCGCUACACCCUUCGUGUGUGGAACGAUAUUCUUCGUUGGCUUGGCAUGGAUCACACUCAGGCUACUACUUGGUCAGCGAGGGGCUCGGUGUGGGAAUGGUGGAAUGGAAACGUAUAUCUUCGUUCUGAAUCCCCCAAGACGCUCGCCUCACUAAUGAUGCUAAUCUCCUGA
Molecule: ribosomal RNA, 351 nt
Filed under: Triticum aestivum (bread wheat)
Lineage: Eukaryota; Viridiplantae; Streptophyta; Magnoliopsida; Poales; Poaceae
Description: partial small subunit ribosomal RNA
Source: RNAcentral